AGUAAACGAGUCAGUGAAUUGUCGUUCGGUUUAUUUUCUACGUAUUUUUGAGCUUUAUCGAAAUUUCUUUAUUGGAAGCCAGCCUUGUGCGCCAGUGUGUGUAAAGGCCUUGCCAGUUGAACAACGCGUACAUUUACAGUAUCGAUUCUUUGCAAAUAGAAUAAUGAAGCUGUUAAUAGCUCUAUCAUCCCUCUUGGCUGUUUCCUUUGCAGCAGAAAGUUGCUACAAAGAUGUCUCGUCGGACUGUUCGCAAACAUCUAGCAGUUUGACUCUUCCAAGCUGUAACGCGAUUUAUGGACAAUAUGGGCGCUACGGCAACGUAGCAUCAGAAAUGCAAGCCUACGCCAACCUUCACCUAGAAAGAUCCUAUCAGUAUCUUCUUUCCGCCGCCUAUUUCAACAAUUAUCAGACCCACAGAACUGGCUUUGCGAAAAUUUUCAAGAAACUAUCUGACGAAGCAUGGGAGAAGAGCAUCAACCUGAUUAAGCAUAUUACAACUAGAGGUAAACAAUAAUUUAUUUUUAC
Long non-coding RNA from Hyposmocoma kahamanoa, 525 nucleotides. RefSeq lists it as uncharacterized. The transcript is spliced from 3 exons. Lineage: Eukaryota; Metazoa; Arthropoda; Insecta; Lepidoptera; Cosmopterigidae. The record is from RefSeq and is a predicted model, not a curated record.